Molecule: ribosomal RNA, 429 nt
Filed under: Pseudomonadota bacterium
Lineage: Bacteria; Pseudomonadati; Pseudomonadota
Description: Proteobacteria bacterium partial 16S ribosomal RNA
Rfam family: Bacterial small subunit ribosomal RNA
Source: RNAcentral
UGGGGAAUAUUGGACAAUGGGCGAAAGCCUGAUCCAGCCAUGCCGCGUGUGUGAAGAAGGUCUUCGGAUUGUAAAGCACUUUAAGUUGGGAGGAAGGGCAGUAAGCGAAUACCUUGCUGUUUUGACGUUACCGACAGAAUAAGCACCGGCUAACUCUGUGCCAGCAGCCGCGGUAAUACAGAGGCUGCAAGCGUUAAUCGGAAUUACUGGGCGUAAAGCGCGCGUAGGUGGUUCGUUAAGUUGAAUGUGAAAGCCCCGGGCUCAACCUGGGAACUGCAUCCAAAACUGGCGAGCUAGAGUAGGGCAGAGGGUGGUGGAAUUUCCUGUGUAGCGGUGAAAUGCGUAGAUAUAGGAAGGAACACCAGUGGCGAAGGCGACCACCUGGGCUCAUACUGACACUGAGGUGCGAAAGCGUGGGGAGCAAACAGG